Molecule: ribosomal RNA, 433 nt
Filed under: uncultured bacterium
Lineage: Bacteria
Description: partial 16S ribosomal RNA
Rfam family: Bacterial small subunit ribosomal RNA
Source: RNAcentral
AACGAACGCUGGCGGCAUGCCUAACACAUGCAAGUCGAACGAGACCUUCGGGUCUAGUGGCGCACGGGUGCGUAACGCGUGGGAACCUGCCCUUAGGUUCGGAAUAACUCCCCGAAAGGGGUGCUAAUACCGGAUAAUGUCUUCGGACCAAAGAUUUAUCGCCUUUGGAUGGGCCCGCGUUGGAUUAGCUAGUUGGUAGGGUAAAAGCCUACCAAGGCGACGAUCCAUAGCUGGUCUGAGAGGAUGAUCAGCCACACUGGGACUGAGACACGGCCCAGACUCCUACGGGAGGCAGCAGUGGGGAAUAUUGGACAAUGGGCGAAAGCCUGAUCCAGCAAUGCCGCGUGAGUGAUGAAGGCCUUAGGGUUGUAAAGCUCUUUUACCCGGGAUGAUAAUGACAGUACCGGGAGAAUAAGCUCUGGCUAACUCCGUG